GGAGGCUGGAGAAAGUUGGAUUCUUCUUGAAGAAGGCUUUGGAGACACAGGUCCUGGCCCCGCCCCUUCCUCCCAAAGUGUGAAAGUCGGGGGGGGGGGUUGAUUCUUUUCUUCCUUCGCCCCCACCCCCAAGAUCUUGGAUCCGCAGUUUCAAGCCAGUUGAGGAAUCCGAGGCUCACUCUGUGUGCACUGUACAAUCCAGUGCCUGGAUCCGGCUUUACUUCGCCCCUUUGGAUAGCAUUCGCCUGGGCAGAGACUUGGUCACCCCUGCGAGCUCGGCGCCUCUGGCCUACAGCUUCUCUGGCCUCUUCGCUCCUGCCUCGGGCUGACCCGAGGAGUGAGAUGUCCUGAGCCCCUGUGCAGAUCGGGAGUGACGAGAAAUGUCAGAACCCAGGCAAGGAUCCAUUCAUCCUGGGGGCACACGCGAUUCGCGGCCCCAUUCCUAAGAGGCCAGGGGCAGAGGAGACUGGAGGAGUUGGUGGUGCACACGCUUGGUGCAAUGAGCUUGGGGACGGGUGCGACACAGACAAGUUGGACCGUGUUCGUAGUGUAGCAUUGUGGGCAAUGGGAAAGACAACCUCCCGCGGCAGAGUUUGGAGCACGGCUGAGAGCAAUCCGGAGAUGAAAAAAAAUACACCAUCCCCCUAGAAUAAUAAUAAUCCAAUUGCUGCAGGUCCCUGUAGAGCCUCGGAGGCAGAACUCCGCCUUUCUUGUAAACGUCUGUGCCUGGUUUCGCGGAAAGAAGGCGCUUCUCCUCUGACCCAGUGAAUGAGAUGCUCCAGCUGUCCCCUCUGCUCCUAGGUGGUGGAGCAAACGUCUUACUUCUGUUCA
Molecule: long non-coding RNA, 831 nt
Organism: Chrysemys picta bellii (western painted turtle)
Lineage: Eukaryota; Metazoa; Chordata; Testudines; Emydidae
Source: RefSeq, a predicted model, not a curated record